Long non-coding RNA from Coregonus clupeaformis (lake whitefish), 111 nucleotides. RefSeq lists it as uncharacterized. The record is from RefSeq and is a predicted model, not a curated record. The transcript has 3 exons. Lineage: Eukaryota; Metazoa; Chordata; Actinopteri; Salmoniformes; Salmonidae.
GAGGUGUGUUUAUCCUGUUGGAUCUGGUAUCAGGGGAGAGAGAUGUGUUUAUCCUGUUGGAUCUGGUAUCAGGGGAGAGAGGUGUGUUUAUCCUGUUGGAUCUGGUAUCAG